UACAGAGGUCUCAAGCGUUGUUCGGAUUCAUUGGGCGUAAAGGGUGCGUAGGUGGCGCGCUAAGUCGGGUGUGAAAGCCCUCGGCUUAACCGAGGAAGUGCAUUCGAAACUACUGGACUUGAGUACUGAAGAGGGUCGCGGAAUUCCCGGUGUAGAGGUGAAAUUCGUAGAUAUCGGGAGGAACACCAGUGGCGAAGGCGGCGACCUGGGCAGAUACUGACGCUGAGGUGCGAAAGCGUGGGGAGCAAACAGG
This 253-nucleotide ribosomal RNA is filed under the name uncultured bacterium. RNAcentral's name for it is "partial 16S ribosomal RNA". It matches the Rfam family "Bacterial small subunit ribosomal RNA", at positions 524 to 776 of the family's 1533-position model. The record is from RNAcentral.